UGCCAGCAGCCGCGGUAAUACGGAGGGGGCUAGCGUUGUUCGGAAUUACUGGGCGUAAAGCGCACGUAGGCGGACCAGAAAGUUGGGGGUGAAAUCCCGGGGCUCAACCUCGGAACUGCCUUCAAAACUAUUGGUCUGGAGUUCGAGAGAGGUGAGUGGAAUUCCGAGUGUAGAGGUGAAAUUCGUAGAUAUUCGGAGGAACACCAGUGGCGAAGGCGGCUCACUGGCUCGAUACUGACGCUGAGGUGCGAAAGCGUGGGGAGCAAACAGGAUUAGAUA
RNAcentral lists this ribosomal RNA (279 nucleotides) under uncultured bacterium. RNAcentral's name for it is "partial 16S ribosomal RNA". It matches the Rfam family "Bacterial small subunit ribosomal RNA", at positions 506 to 784 of the family's 1533-position model. The record is from RNAcentral.